RNAcentral lists this ribosomal RNA (1343 nucleotides) under uncultured bacterium. RNAcentral describes it as "16S ribosomal RNA". It matches the Rfam family "Bacterial small subunit ribosomal RNA", at positions 28 to 1378 of the family's 1533-position model. The record is from RNAcentral.
GACGAACGUUGGCGGCGUGCUUAACACAUGCAAGUCGAACCGAAAAGCCCUGCUUUUGUGGGGUGCUCGAGUGGCGAACUUUUGAGUAACACGUGAGUAACCUGCCCUUGACUUUGGGAUAACUUCAGGAAACUGGGGCUAAUACCGGAUAGGAGCUCCUGCUGCAUGGUGGGGGUUGGAAAGUUUCGGCGGUUGGGGAUGGACUCGCGGCUUAUCAGCUUGUUGGUGGGGUAGUGGCUUACCAGGGCUUUGACGGGUAGCCGGCCUGAGAGGGUGACCGGCCACAUUGGGACUGAGAUACGGCCCAGACUCCUACGGGAGGCAGCAGUGGGGAAUAUUGCACAAUGGGCGGAAGCCUGAUGCAGCAACGCCGCGUGCGGGAUGACGGCCUUCGGGUUGUAAACCGCUUUCGCCUGUGACGAAGCGUGAGUGACGGUAAUGGGUAAAGAAGCACCGGCUAACUACGUGCCAGCAGCCGCGGUGAUACGUAGGGUGCGAGCGUUGUCCGGAUUUAUUGGGCGUAAAGGGCUCGUAGGUGGUUGAUCGCGUCGGAAGUGUAAUCUUAGGGCUUAACCCUGAGCGUGCUUUCGAUACGGGUUGACUUGAGGAAGGUAGGGGAGAAUGGAAUUCCUGGUGGAGCGGAGGAAUGCGCAGAUAUCAGGAGGAACACCAGUGGCGAAGGCGGUUCUCUGGGCCUUUCCUGACGCUGAGGAGCGAAAGCGUGGGGAGCGAACAGGCUUAGAUACCCUGGUAGUCCACGCUGUAAACGGUGGGUACUAGGUGUGGGGUCCAUUCCACGGGUUCCGUGCCGUAGCUAACGCUUUAAGUACCCCGCCUGGGGAGUACGGCCGCAAGGCUAAAACUCAAAGGAAUUGACGGGGCCCCGCACAAGCGGCGGAGCAUGCGGAUUAAUUCGAUGCAACGCGUAGAACCUUACCUGGGUUUGACAUGGAUCGGGAGUGCUCAGAGAUGGGUGUGCCUCUUUUGGGGUCGGUUCACAGGUGGUGCAUGGCUGUCGUCAGCUCGUAUCGUGAGAUGUUGGGUUAAGUCCCGCAACGAGCGCAACCCUUGUUCACUGUUGCCAGCACGUUAUGGUGGGGACUCAGUGGAGACCGCCGGGGUCAACUCGGAGGAAGGUGGGGAUGACGUCAAGUCAUCAUGCCCCUUAUGUCCAGGGCUUCACGCAUGCUACAAUGGCUGGUACAGAGAGUGGCGAGCCUGUGAGGGUGAGCGAAUCUCGGAAAGCCGGUCUCAGUUCGGAUUGGGGUCUGCAACUCGACCUCAUGAAGUCGGAGUCGCUAGUAAUCGCAGAUCAGCAACGCUGCGGUGAAUACGUUCCCGGG